RNAcentral lists this ribosomal RNA (822 nucleotides) under Candidatus Methanoplasma reticulitermitis. RNAcentral's name for it is "bacterial SSU rRNA". It matches the Rfam family "Archaeal small subunit ribosomal RNA", at positions 654 to 1478 of the family's 1478-position model. Lineage: Archaea; Methanobacteriati; Thermoplasmatota; Thermoplasmata; Methanomassiliicoccales; Methanomassiliicoccaceae. The record is from RNAcentral.
GGACCACCGGUGGCGAAGGCGUCUAGCUAGAACGGAUCCGACGGUGAGGGACGAAGCCCUGGGUCGCAAACGGGAUUAGAUACCCCGGUAGUCCAGGGUGUAAACGCUGCAGACUUGGUGUUGGAGGCCCUUCGAGGGCAUUCAGUGCCGGAGAGAAGUUGUUAAGUCUGCUACUUGGGGAGUACGUCCGCAAGGAUGAAACUUAAAGGAAUUGGCGGGGGAGCACCGCAACGGGAGGAGCGUGCGGUUUAAUUGGAUUCAACACCGGAAAACUCACCAGGGGAGACUGUUACAUGAAAGCCAAGCUAAUGACUUUGCUAGAUUUUCAGAGAGGUGGUGCAUGGCCGUCGUCAGUUCGUACCGUAAGGCGUUCUCUUAAGUGAGAUAACGAACGAGACCCUCACCAAUAGUUGCUACUUUGUCCUCCGGGAUGGAGGCACACUAUUGGGACCGCUGGCGCUAAGUCAGAGGAAGGAGAGGUCAACGGUAGGUCAGUAUGCCCCGAAUCUCCUGGGCUACACGCGCGCUACAAAGGGCGGGACAAUGGGCUCCGACACCGAAAGGUGAAGGUAAUCUCGAAACCCGUCCGUAGUUCGGAUUGAGGGUUGUAACUCACCCUCAUGAAGCUGGAUUCCGUAGUAAUCGCGAAUCAACAACUCGCGGUGAAUAUGCCCCUGCUCCUUGCACACACCGCCCGUCAAACCAUCCGAGUUGGGUUUCAGUGAGGCUGCCUCUAAUUAGGGUUGUCGAACUGAGAUUUAGCAAGGAAGGUUAAGUCGUAACAAGGUAUCUGUAGGGGAACCUGCAGAUGGAUCACCUCCU